AUGGCGUCGCACAAUAGUGCGUCUGCUAUCGUUGCAAAGACCGUGCGGGCGUCCCACGAUGUGGCGAUAAGCGGCUACUCGGCCACCAAAAUCUAUUAUACCCACGGCACGUACAUAAAAUCAGCCAACUUUCUUGCCGGAGGCCGUCGCUGGUACCUGCGGUACUACCCUAACGGCUGCUGCUCAUUCGACAGGGGAUGUGUAACAUUCUUGCUAUACCAUGAUGACGGCGACAACGGCCAAUACAAAGUGCCAGUGGGCUAUAAUAUUUCCUUGCUCGGCCCGGACGGCAAUCCAGUACAAGGCUACAGAACCUUCCACAAGACGACCGUCGGCGAACCAGCAGACUACGAAACGUCCGGACUCUUCGGCGCAACGGACCUGGAGCAAUCGGCUUACCUCAAGGACGAUGCCUUCACCGUCCGGUGCAAAUUCACCGUGCCAAUGAUCGUUACGGAGACCAUCGUCCAGCUGCCGCGAAACGAGCCAAGCAGUCCGACUCCGACUCAAGUACCCGCCGACGUGCACGAGACUCUAGUCCACGUCUUCUCGGACGAGGUGCCCACUGAUGUGGCCCUGGAGGUCGGCGAUGAGACCUUCCGGGCACACAGGCGUUUCCUCGCCGCUCAGUCGCCGGUGUGCGCUGCCUUGUUCACGGGGUCUAUGAGGGAGAACACCGCCCCUUCAGUUCGGAUCCACGACAUGGAGCCCCGGGUGUUGGAGGCCAUGCUCGGCUUCAUCUACAGAGGCAACCUGCUGCCACCUCAUGUCGUUGACGAGAGUGACAGAAUCGACAUGACUCAACAUCUGCUUGUGGCCGCGGACAGGUAUCACCUCCAGAGGCUCAAGUCCAUCUGCGAGGAGAAGCUACGCAGACAUAUCAACACAACCACAGUGGCCACUACGAUGGAGCUGGCUCACCGGCAUGGCUGUCAUACGCUCAAGGACGCAUGCUACGAUUUCCUUGCUCCUCCUAGAGGCAAUCUCAAAGCAAUUCUCAAGAGCGAGGGCUUUGAGCAACUCAUCAUCGAUUACCCGUCCGUUGUAGUGGAGCUAUUAGCCAGGGUUGCUCCCUCACCCCAUUGA
Molecule: ribosomal RNA, 1086 nt
Filed under: Triticum aestivum (bread wheat)
Lineage: Eukaryota; Viridiplantae; Streptophyta; Magnoliopsida; Poales; Poaceae
Description: partial small subunit ribosomal RNA
Source: RNAcentral